UACAUGCAAUUCAAACGCUUUGAUUUUCACCGGAGCUUGCUCCACCGAAAAUCAAAGAGUGGCGGACGGGUGAGUAACACGUGGGCAACCUGCCCAACAGAGGGGGAUAACACUUGGAAACAGGUGCUAAUACCGCAUAAUUUGUUUUCCCGCAUGGGAGAAUAAUAAAAGACGCUUCGGUGUCACUGUUGGAUGGGCCCGCGCUGCAUUAGUUAGUUGGUGGGGUAAUGGCCUACCAAGACCGUGAUGCAUAGCCGACCUGAGAGGGUGAUCGGCCACACUGGGACUGAGACACGGCCCAGACUCCUACGGGAGGCAGCAGUAGGGAAUCUUCGGCAAUGGACGAAAGUCUGACCGAGCAACGCCGCGUGAGUGAAGAAGGUUUUCGGAUCGUAAAACUCUGUUGUUAGAGAAGAACAAGUGGGAGAGUAACUGUUCCCACCUUGACGGUAUCUAACCAGAAAGCCACGGCUAACUACGUGCCAGCAGCCGCGGUAAUACGUAGGUGGCAAGCGUUGUCCGGAUUUAUUGGGCGUAAAGCGAGCGCAGGCGGUUUCUUAAGUCUGAUGUGAAAGCCCUCGGCUCAACCGAGGAAGGUCAUUGGAAACUGGGGAACUUGAAUGCA
Molecule: ribosomal RNA, 625 nt
Filed under: Vagococcus sp. W31
Lineage: Bacteria; Bacillati; Bacillota; Bacilli; Lactobacillales; Enterococcaceae
Description: bacterial SSU rRNA
Rfam family: Bacterial small subunit ribosomal RNA
Source: RNAcentral